ACAAAUACACUGGCCAUCAGACUGCAGAGACAUUAUGGUUUGCCUUGCUUUCCCUUUCUCUGUUCCUGUGAAUUUUGAAUUAUCCUGUUUUUUCAGGAAAACACAACUUUAAGAGAAGCCAGUCACUUAGCUGCAGGGCACUCUCACCUGACCUGAGCCUUGGGCUUAGCCACCCUCUGGUUGAUACAGAUCUUUUCGUCUGCAGUACAGGGUCCACUCUUGCUGAAUAGCUCCUUUCUGAAGUGUCUGAUGUUCCUGGGCCCUGAGAUGCAUCCUAGGGCUGAACAGUGAAAAACUAAAAAAAAGCUUUCUGUGUCCAGUCAACUGAGAAAAUGAUGCUCUGGAGCCCUUCAGUUCCUGUCUAGUCUGAAAACACUACAUACAAGGAAGAAGAAAUUAAUUCCACUCCAGAAAACCCCUGACUGUUUUCUACUUCCUGCCAAUAGCAUCUUUAUUUAAAGCAAAACAAACAACACCCUUAGUAAAUGAAGGCAUACAUACAUUAACAAUAACAGAUAUUCAGCAAAUAUCCUGAAUUAAAAUGUACUAGAUGUACAUUGUAUAAUGUACUGGAUGUGCACAUACAUACUUCUCUUAAAUAGAGAAUAUAAUUCUGCUACUUUUAUAUAAUUUAUGUAUUAAUAAUGGUAAUGAAAAGAUGGAAGUAAGGGAAAGCAUAUUGGAAGAAGCUCUAAUAUAUGCAUGUAGCUUUGCUUGGCAGACUUACAAAGGGUUUUACUGACUUUGCAAUAGUUAUAUGCAUAAGCUCUUCAGGGACCUUGAUCCUGAAUUGCUCCACACCAACAUAAAAUUGUUACAGACACGAACUGUCACAGUGGAGCUCUCUAUAAGAAAAGUCAAAUAGGGAUACACAAGUUAUUUCUCAACUUUCUUGAAAUUUACUUGCAAUUUUUAUGAGCAGCAAAGGUAGACUAGAUAUUCAUUAUCACAUGGAAGUAUAGAGCAACUGAUCAUAAAAGAUCAAAUGAUCUAAAAGCAAAAUACACUUUGUAGUAGCUUUAUUCAUGUUUUCUUUUUCUAGAACUAAACAGCAGAUGUUCCAAUUAAUGUGAUUUACUUCUUUUCCCCUUUUGUUGUUACAGCUUUUGAAUCUUUUCUGGAACCAGAAUUUUUUUUCCUUGAAUCUUUCUGGAAACAAAAAUUAUAUAAUAUAAACAUAUUAUAUGAAGCGUAAUCAACAGCAAAGUUAAACUGAGACGUGCUGAAAUUGCCCUUGGAGAUUUGGGUGAAUAUGGAGAGGCAUGUUACUAUCAAAAACAGACACCACAUGGAAACAAGCCAAGAUUUCCAGUCUCAGAGAAGCAUAGAAGAAUCUUGGGCAAUUUCUGAUCAAUCCAAGCUCAUCAUUACAAGAACUUUUAGGAAUCUUGCUCUAUUGUGUAAAGCCAGGGGCUUACCUCACUUGGUGUCUAAUUGCAGGUCUAGCUCAUUGAGCUCAUGAAAUAAAAGGUGAAAAAUUAUCUGUUUUUCACAAAGAUAUAUUGCUAUUUUUUCACAUAUACACUGAGAAAAACAAACACUAAUGCUCCAUCUAGACUCUAAUCUCCUAUAUGGCCUUCAGUAUGCUUCUCAGAGCCUCCCAUCAGCAUGCCAGCUCAUAAAACCCACACAUCUUCCAAAUGGAUUUGAGGUUUUUAAUAAAUCAUUAGUCUAAAUAUUACAUUUUACAUGCCACUGGUUACACCUGGCCUUUUGUAGUUACUGAAUGAUUCAUGGGCUGUUUGGAAGAACACACAUAUGCACACAAAUAUUUAUAACUCUGUGUUUUGUUGAGAAAGGUUGUUGACCUCCUUCAAUCAAGAAAUUUUAAUGCUUUGUGCUGACUUUCGAUUUUAUUGGUUGUUUAAGGUACAAUCAAGGCUUGAAUGGGAUUUGAGAUGGAGGCUGUGAUCACCCAGUUGCAAAACUGAGUUCCUUGCCCUUUGGUGGUAACCUCUGUGUGUAUACUAUCUAACUACAAGCUCUAAUCAUGAAAUUCCAGGAGUCUGUGGUGUAUAACCUGUGGUGUUGGAGGAAGAGGCAUAUGGUUUCUGAGACCAGGAUCUGAAGAGAUACAACUUUUUCCUGACCAUUUUGAAGACAGAGAGUUGAGGUCUCAAACAGUACAGUCUCUGUCUUGUAAUGGAUUUCUGGGUGGUUGCUCAUGCAAGUAUUGUCAUUUAAGUCCACAGCAUCACUAGGCACCCUGAUGCUUUAAAGCCAUCCCUGUUUACCAUAUUUUGGAACAACAUGGUCUUCAUGUCUGCAUGAGUUCUUCAAUGAGGUUUUCAUGACUGCAUUGAGUUUUUACGAAAUGCUUUCAACACUGUUCUUCAGCAAGGGUA
Cyanistes caeruleus (blue tit) is the source of this 2345-nucleotide non-coding RNA. The record is from RefSeq and is a predicted model, not a curated record. NCBI's taxonomy places the organism in Eukaryota, Metazoa, Chordata, Aves, Passeriformes, Paridae.